UAACAGAAAUACCAUGGUGGAUGUAAUCAUAAAGUUACUUCAUUUUUUAUCUACUAUUCCUUUAAAGGAAUAACAGCUGUUUAACAUCUUCAGUCCACUGUUAUAAUAAUUGUUGUUAUUAUAACAUAUAACUUAAAUAUAAUAAUAAUUAGUAUUGUAACAUAGUUAUAAGAAGAGAGAAGGGCUUAGAGGAAAGCAGCAGGAGCUUGACAAAUACCUGUAUGAUUGUCUAGAUUCCACUCUCUUUGGGUUUGUCAAGUUUAAAAUCUGACACAUUCUUUGACAAUACUUUUUUGAAUUCUUUGAAGAUAUCGUAUGUAUCAGACACCUCAUAUGCCUUACCUCCCAUCUUCUUGACUAAUGACCUUUUGCUUCAGUCACUGCUCUGAGAACCACAGAGUUCAGAAGUAACUGGUUGCAUCUUAUCUCUGGUGCACCAUACAUUUCUUUCUUUCUGCAGUGUGGAUUUUCUGAUGCUACUGUGUAUGACACCUCUGGGAACCCAUUUGAAACACACAGGCAAGUAUGAGGGAGUUGCUGCCCCAUAGAUAAAUGCUUUUUUUCCCUGUCUCUCAGGAAGAAAGUGGACAUUUUUAAAAAUUUUAAUUUUUGAUUUUUAUGAGCACAUAGUAUGUGUAUAUAUUUAUGAGGUAUAUGAGAUAUUUUGAUACAAGCAUACAAUGUAUAAUAAUCACACCAGGGUAAAUUGAGUAUCCAUCACUUCAAGUAUUUAUCAUUUCUUUUCGUUACAAACAUUCCAAUUAUACUUUUAGUUAUUUUUAAAUGUACAAUAAAUUAUAGUUGACUGUAAUCUCCCCAUUGUGCUAUCAAAUACUAGAUCUUAGUCAUUCUAUCUAACUACAUUUUUGUAGCUAUUAGCCAUCCUCACUCCUGCCACCCCAUUACCCUUCUCAGCCUUUGGUAACUAUCAUUCUACUCUCCAUCUCCAUGAGUUCAAUUGUUUCAGUCAUUAGUCCCACAAAUGAGUGAGAACAUGUGAAGUCUGUCAUGUAGACAAUUUUGAGACACAUUCUACCUUGCUCCUAGCUCAAUAACACACUUGCAUAAGCUUUCCUCUAUUCCUCUUAUUUCUUGCCUGUUUCCCACUCCUUUUCAUUCACUUUACAAAAUAGCAUAUCUGUAUUCAAACUCUUGUCUCAGGCUCUGCUUUCUAGGGAUAAUCCAUACAAAAUCAUACAAUCAGUUCCCUUGACAUGAGUAAAUGCACGCAUUCAGCUGAUCCCAAACUACUUCUUCAGUCUGUGGGCAGCCCAUGGUUUACUUACAGCUUCUCUCUCCUGUCUUUUUGUGCCUGCAGAGUCUUCUUGGACAGCACCUAAGAUGGUGCCUAUUUCAGCACUCUCUUUGCAAAGAAGCCCAUUUCUGGUGCAUAGAACACAUACAAAUCCUAAGUGACAAAAACUCUGGGCAUGCAGGCUGACUCGAACGCACCCAUCUUUCUUUGUUCUACUACCAGUCAGCCUCUCUUAUGUUAAAUUUUUCAGGAAUGGGGAGGACACAAAGCCACUGUGGCAGCAAGGCUCAAAGGACUCAUUUUAAACUCUCCAAGUAUUUUCCUCAAAACUCAUUCCCUGCCCAUUAUGGUCUCCACUUUGAGGGCAAGGUAUUUCUCCUAAUGUUAUCCCUCCCCUACCCCUCAACGCCUGACAGACCCUGGUGUGUAAAUGCAAAUCAAAACCACAAUGAGAUACCAUCUCACGCCAGUUAGAGUGGCGAUCAUUAAAAAGUCAGAAAACAACAGAUGCUGGAGAGGAUGCGGAGAAAUAGGAAUGCUUUUACACUGUUGGUGGGAGUGUAAAUUAGUUCAACCGUUGUGGAAGACAGUGUGGCAAUUCCUCAAGGAUCUAGAACUAGAAAUACCAUUUGAUCAGCUUUUAUUCAUACCCACAAAGAAUACUUUGUAAUAGAGAUUUCUCACUGAUUUGGGGAAAAAAAAGUGUAUUCCAUUAACGUAUUAGAUUACUGCUUCAUCUCAUCAACUCUUAUUUUUACCACCACAACAAAACAGCCUAUUUAAAAGCAAAUAUUGUACCAUAUCAAUCCUUCAUUAAUGAAUGAGCCUAACGAGCAGAGAAUUGUCCAGGUUCUGUUCACUAUCUGGCUAUUCAUAGUAAUGCAUUGUCUGAAAUAAAGUCAGAUUUGGGUAACUCUUGCACCAAAGCCACUGACAAAGAUUUAUAUGGUUUACCAUAAUGAGUUGACUUCUCUUUGGAUAACGACAGUGACUAAUGCUGUACCUAUCUUGGUGGAGGCAUUUUUUUAUCUUAUCCAUGUUUUACGGAAGGUGAUCUUUGGUUUACAGAAUCGUGGAACUGGAAAAUAUAUUUAGUGUUUACCUCAUUCAUUCCCUUAUUAUGAAUGAGAAAAUUGAAUCCAGAGGCAUUAAAUGAGACAUGUUAGGCUAAUGGCAAAGAAUUGUCUAGAACUCAUGCCUUGUAAUUCCAGAGCCCUAUGCUGUGAAAGAUAAAAACAUUAGUUUUUUCUGUAACCCAAAAACAGGCAUUAUGACAUUGCUUUCUGAAAUAGACAUAUGCCAGUUAAAAUAUGGUAGAGUGCUCAAGUUAUAUGUGAAACACAGGGCUUUUUAUUUUCAAAAUGGGAAAGGAUGUCAGCUCUCAGUGUUUACUUGAUAUUUGAGAGUUAUUUCCCUUAUAUUUGUAAUCACACCAGAAUGUGGUAAAGAUUAACAAACCAAUGAUGUUUAUGACAAGUCUUUGUUUUUUUCUAGUUGUUCAUAACUACCAUCAAAAGCUGAGGUUCUAGAAUGUCCAUUUAAACAUCCAGGGCACUACUGUCAGCAAGAGAUCAUUAAUCCAGUGAGAGUAUAAUUAAAAGAACAGUCUUCCAUCCUCCCACUCCAAUUUCCAAACCUGAAUAAGAUGAAAAUAUAUCUUUAUUCUUGUUGCUUUCCACUUAGGGUUGUAGUGGCUACCUUACCUAAAAAUAAGAUUACAUUGUAAAGCAAGAUGUCAUUUCAAAGUGUUUGUGUGUAGCUAUAGAGGGCUAUAUGGCUUUGUUGCUUGAAGAGACUCUUAUCUAUCAACAGAUGUGUAGGCAUGGUCUGGUUGUCAGAGAAUGAAUAAAGAGAAGCUGAUGAUGCACCA
This 3125-nucleotide long non-coding RNA is filed under the name Homo sapiens (human). RNAcentral's name for it is "HSALNT0310649". The record is from RNAcentral. Lineage: Eukaryota; Metazoa; Chordata; Mammalia; Primates; Hominidae.